GAUGAACGCUAGCGGGAGGCUUAACACAUGCAAGUCGAGGGGCAGCACGAGGUAGCAAUACUUUGGUGGCGACCGGCAGACGGGUGAGUAACGCGUAUGCAACCUACCCUGUACUGGGGGAUAACCCGGAGAAAUUCGGACUAAUACCCCAUAGAAAUAUUGAGAGGCAUCUUGAGAUAUUUAAAGUUUCGGCGGUACGGGAUGGGCAUGCGUAACAUUAGCUAGUUGGUAAGGUAACGGCUUACCAAGGCUUUGAUGUUUAGGGGUCCUGAGAGGGUGAUCCCCCACACUGGUACUGAGACACGGACCAGACUCCUACGGGAGGCAGCAGUGAGGAAUAUUGGUCAAUGGGCGCAAGCCUGAACCAGCCAUCCCGCGUGCAGGAAGACGGCCCUAUGGGUUGUAAACUGCUUUUCCAGGAGGAGAAAC
RNAcentral lists this ribosomal RNA (429 nucleotides) under uncultured bacterium. RNAcentral describes it as "bacterial SSU rRNA". It matches the Rfam family "Bacterial small subunit ribosomal RNA", at positions 28 to 451 of the family's 1533-position model. The record is from RNAcentral.